Molecule: ribosomal RNA, 253 nt
Filed under: uncultured bacterium
Lineage: Bacteria
Description: partial 16S ribosomal RNA
Rfam family: Bacterial small subunit ribosomal RNA
Source: RNAcentral
UACGGAGGGUGCAAGCGUUAUCCGGAUUUACUGGGUUUAAAGGGUGCGUAGGCGGGCCUUUAAGUCAGUGGUGAAAGCUCCGAGCUUAACUCGGAAACUGCCAUUGGUACUAUUGGUCUUGAAUUCGGUCGAGGUUGGCGGAAUGUGUCGUGUAGCGGUGAAAUGCUUAGAUAUGACACAGAACACCGAUUGCGAAGGCAGCUAGCUAGACCGACAUUGACGCUGAGGCACGAAAGCGUGGGGAUCAAACAGG